UACAGAGGCCUCGAGCGUUAGGCGGAAUCACUGGGCUUAAAGCGUGUGUAGGCGGACCCCUAAGUACCUUGUGAAAUCCCACGGCUCACCCGUGGAACGGCUGGGUAUACUGGGGGUCUUGAGCCACCUAGGGGCGAGUGGAACAAAUGGUGGAGCGGUGAAAUGCGCAGAUAUCAGGAGGAACACCGGUGGCGAAGGCGGUUCUCUGGGCAUUACCUGACGCUGAGGAGCGAAAGUGUGGGGAGCGAACAGG
Molecule: ribosomal RNA, 253 nt
Filed under: uncultured bacterium
Lineage: Bacteria
Description: partial 16S ribosomal RNA
Rfam family: Bacterial small subunit ribosomal RNA
Source: RNAcentral